CAGUCAUGCUAAUAGGGAAUCAACUUGAUGGGUCGUUCCCCCGGGAGCAAUCUUUCUUGUGCACUUCCUUGUUCGGCAGGUUAGCAUCAAUUUCGGUUGUCAUCAAAAAAUUGAGGGAAUGUGACUUCUUUCGGGAAGUGUUAUAGACCUUGAUAUAUGUGGUGACCGGGAUUGAGGAUUGCAGCGGAUGCUUUUGGGCUAGUCACCUACCUUCUGACGGUUACCCUGCUUUCGAUAGCUUGCUAACGAUUGUGGAAUUUAACAGUCUAGAUGUUGGAGUGAUCUUAUAUUCGUUAAGGAUGUUGACGUA
Molecule: ribosomal RNA, 310 nt
Filed under: uncultured Glomeromycotina
Lineage: Eukaryota; Fungi; Glomeromycota
Description: eukaryotic LSU rRNA
Source: RNAcentral